UUUUUUUUUUGCUGGGGAUUGAAUCCAGGGCCUUGCGCAUGUGAGGCAAGCACUCUACCAACUAAGCUAUAUACCCAGCCCUAAAAAGCCUUUGUUGAAAAGGCAAAAAGAAAACACAUUUGUUGCAGUAAUUCACUUGCAGGUCAGCAUGGGAAAAGAAAGAAGAAGCAGAGCAAGCAAAGCAGCAGCAGAAAAAAAAGUCCUUUAUUGUGUACAAGCAAUCUUUUUAUAGUAUUGUGAACAAAGAAGGCAGCCUUCCAACAUCAAUAAAUCAGGUCUUUCAGCUAAUUAAACAUAGCAUAUAGAAGUUUUACUUUCACUUUCUAAUCAGAAGUGACCCGCUUCUCAUGGCUAAUCUACUUUCGGCCCGGAGUAUGUUGAGCUCUGCUCUUUGUUAAGAACAGAUAAUAAAAUUUUUCUCAGUGCCCUCCUAGCCCACUUGGCAGAACAUCCCGUUUGAAGGCUAGUCCUCCCAAGGACAGCAGACACCUCGUUUUCAAGCAUGUCCGUUGUUACCUUAUCUAAACCUUGAAGGAGCCUCUCGUUUGCGAGCAGGCCCUCCCAAGGACAGUAGACACCUUGUUUUCAAGCAUGUCCGUUGUUACCUAUCUAUACCUUGACAGAAUAUCCCUGUAGGCAGACUCCAUCAAGGACAGUAAUAGUAACACAGUCACAUCUGAUUCUCUACACACAUUCAAGGGUUGAUUGAUAAUAUUUAAAUACUUGUUUCUUUAGCCAGGAGGUGGGAUGAGGCAGGCCUAUAAUACCAACUUCUCUGGAGUCUGUGGCAGGAGCAUCUUAAGUCCAAGGCCAAACUGGACAAUUUAGUGAGCAUGUGUCUCAAAAUAAAAAAUAAAAAGGCUAGAGGUAUAGCUUAGUGGUAGAACACCCCUGGAUUUAAAGCCCUGAACCAUACAAUCAAACAAAAAUCUUGUUUUUUUUUAAUAUUUAUUUUUUAGUUUUCCACGGACAUAACAUCUUUGUUUUUGUAUGUGGUGCUGAGGAUCGAACCUGGGCCACACACAUGCCAGGCGAGCACACUACCUCUUGAGCCACAUCCCCAGCCCCCCAAAUCUUGUUUUUUUAACCUAAAGAAUAUAGAUGGGUCUGGGGUAGCUCAGUGGUAGAGCAUUUGCUUAGUAUGUGUGAGGCACUGGGUUUGAUUUGUGAAGCACUGCAUAUAAAUAAAUGAAUAAAA
This 1198-nucleotide long non-coding RNA is filed under the name Marmota monax (woodchuck). Lineage: Eukaryota; Metazoa; Chordata; Mammalia; Rodentia; Sciuridae. The record is from RNAcentral.